CCUUUCCUUCGGGACAAGAGUGACAGGUGGUGCAUGGUUGUCGUCAGCUCGUGUCGUGAGAUGUUGGGUUAAGUCCCGCAACGAGCGCAACCCUUAUUUUUAGUAGCCAGCAUUUUAAGAUGGGCACUCUAGAGAGACUGCCAGGGAUAACCUGGAGGAAGGUGGGGAUGACGUCAAAUCAUCAUGCCCCUUAUGACCAGGGCUACACACGUG
Molecule: ribosomal RNA, 213 nt
Filed under: uncultured Hespellia sp.
Lineage: Bacteria; Bacillati; Bacillota; Clostridia; Lachnospirales; Lachnospiraceae
Description: partial 16S ribosomal RNA
Rfam family: Bacterial small subunit ribosomal RNA
Source: RNAcentral